CCUACGGGAGGCAGCAGUGAGGAAUAUUGGUCAAUGGGCGCUAGCCUGAACCAGCCAAGUAGCGUGAAGGAUGACUGCCCUAUGGGUUGUAAACUUCUUUUAUAUGGGAAUAAAGUGCAGUAUGUAUACUGCUUUGCGUGUACUUUAUGAAUAAGGAUCGGCUAACUCCGUGCCAGCAGCCGCGGUAAUACGGAGGAUCCGAGCGUUAUCCGGAUUUAUUGGGGUUAAAGGGUGCGUAGGCGGGUUGUUAAGUCAGGUGUUAAAGUUUGCGGCUCAACCGUAAGAUUGCAGUUGAUACUGGCAGCCUUGAGUAGAGUAGAGGUAGGCGGAAUUCGUGGUGUAGCGGUGAAAUGCUUAGAUAUCACGAAGAACUCCGAUUGCGAAGGCAGCCUGCUGGACUGGAACUGACGCUGAUGCACGAAAGUGUGGGUAUCAAACAGGAUUAGAUACCCCUGUAGUC
Molecule: ribosomal RNA, 460 nt
Filed under: uncultured bacterium
Lineage: Bacteria
Description: partial 16S ribosomal RNA
Rfam family: Bacterial small subunit ribosomal RNA
Source: RNAcentral